RNAcentral lists this long non-coding RNA (335 nucleotides) under Stegodyphus dumicola. RNAcentral's name for it is "uncharacterized LOC118191830, transcript variant X2". The record is from RNAcentral. Lineage: Eukaryota; Metazoa; Arthropoda; Arachnida; Araneae; Eresidae.
UAUUAAAAUAUAUAACAUUACCAGAACAAUUCAUAGAUGUUGUCUCAAAGAAGAUCUCUUGUAACCUCAUGAUCGUCUUUGGCAUUUAAUGUGUCUAUAAACACAUUGAAAAGGCAGUUCAAGUGAUCCUGUUUGGCAUCUAUCCGUGGAACCAGUCUUAUGUCAUAUAGUCUUCAUUUUAUUAUUAUAAUCAGAGAAGAUGUUUUAAUAGAAGAUAAAGGGGAAUGUGUUAUAUGUUUAGAAGAGUUAACUCAGGGGGAUACAAUAGCCAGAUUACCUUGCCUCUGUAUAUAUCACAAGAGUUGUAUCGAUGCCUGGUUCAAAGUGAAUCGUUC